Molecule: long non-coding RNA, 808 nt
Filed under: Triticum aestivum (bread wheat)
Lineage: Eukaryota; Viridiplantae; Streptophyta; Magnoliopsida; Poales; Poaceae
Description: long non-coding RNA (TAES_LNC000920)
Source: RNAcentral
GAUCCAAUUGCCUUCUUUCUCUGCUUUACUAUGAAAAGAAAAAUCAUAUUGUGGCACAUAUCACGAACUGGAUCCAGUGUCAAGGCAGUGCAAAUUACUGGACUAACAUGAGUGCUUAUGAGAUUGAAGCAUGGCUGAAUAUUAACAUGCAUGAAUUGAUUGCAUUAAGAAUUGUAAGCACCACAACGAGAGAUGGAAAUCUCUUGAUACAGUACGUGGUGGCAAGCUCCAAAAUUGGAGAAUCAACUCAAACAAAAACUCCAGCAGUACAAGCACUUUAUACUUACUCCUGACAUAUGCAAAGCAACAAGACGAGCAGUAACAUCAGCAGCACAGGGUGAUCCGACGAGUCAAACACGCUCAUUAGGUCAUGCCACCAUCGGCCCCUGUCAAGUGUGAUGCAUAACGACUCGACAGUCAGACACAAACCGCAAAAAGAAGCCUAGGACAAGAAUCCUACCACUGAUACUAGUAAAGACGAUAUGUGUCAGCCUUUCAUUCAUCAGUGGCAUAUCCACAAAAGAAACCUUCGUCACAACUGAGAAAGGAAAAUAUCUCUGGUAUUAAGAAAGCUCUGCUUCAGGCACCAGUUAUCACCCCCUGGGACGAUAACGUGAUUUCCCUGACUUCGCUGUCAGAAUUAAGGCACUCGCUCAAGAGCUCAACAUGGAAGGGGUGGAUCUUGAACAGAUCUUUCGAGAUCAGACCAAGUAUGUCUGCGAGAUCACCCAGGGCCGCAACCGCAGCCUUUGUCAAACUCUCAUCCCUGACACAUACAUAUAUGAUAAGGGGAAAAACACAAUACCCG